AAUCCAUAGGUUAAUGAGGCGAACCGGGGGAACUGAAACAUCUAAGUACCCCGAGGAAAAGAAAUCAACCGAGAUUCCCCCAGUAGCGGCGAGCGAACGGGGAGGAGCCCAGAGCCUGAAUCAGCAUGUGUGUUAGUGGAAGCGUCUGGAAAGGCGCGCGAUACAGGGUGACAGCCCCGUACACAAAAGCGCAUGUGCUGUGAGCUCGAUGAGUAGGGCGGGACACGUGGUAUCCUGUCUGAAUAUGGGGGGACCAUCCUCCAAGGCUAAAUACUCCUGACUGACCGAUAGUGAACCAGUACCGUGAGGGAAAGGCGAAAAGAACCCCGGCGAGGGGAGUGAAAAAGAACCUGAAACCGUGUACGUACAAGCAGUGGGAGCCCCACCACCAAAGCAUUCUCUGGUGUUGAAGGCCCUGCAAAGCAGCAUCGCGGUGGCGGAGCGUCGUUUGCGACGCCCAACACACAAAACAAGCGGUGAGUGCUUUGGGGUGGGGUGACUGCGUACCUUUUGUAUAAUGGGUCAGCGACUUAUAUUCUGUAGCAAGGUUAACCGUAUAGGGGAGCCGGAGGGAAACCGAGUCUUAACCGGGCGUUAAGUUGCAGGGUAUAGACCCGAAACCCGGUGAUCUAGCCAUGGGCAGGUUGAAGGUUGGGUAACACUAACUGGAGGACCGAACCGACUAAUGUUGAAAAAUUAGCGGAUGACCUGUGGCUGGGGGUGAAAGGCCAAUCAAACCGGGAGAUAGCUGGUUCUCCCCGAAAGCUAUUUAGGUAGCGCCUCGUGAAUUCAUCUCCGGGGGUAGAGCACUGUUUCGGCUAGGGGGCCAUCCCGGCUUACCAACCCGAUGCAAACUGCGAAUACCGGAGAAUGUUAUCACGGGAGACACACGGCGGGUGCUAACGUCCGUCGUGAAGAGGGAAACAACCCAGACCGCCAGCUAAGGUCCCAAAGUCAUGGUUAAGUGGGAAACGAUGUGGGAAGGCCCAGACAGCCAGGAUGUUGGCUUAGAAGCAGCCAUCAUUUAAAGAAAGCGUAAUAGCUCACUGGUCGAGUCGGCCUGCGCGGAAGAUGUAACGGGGCUAAACCAU
Molecule: ribosomal RNA, 1091 nt
Filed under: Salmonella enterica subsp. enterica serovar Infantis
Lineage: Bacteria; Pseudomonadati; Pseudomonadota; Gammaproteobacteria; Enterobacterales; Enterobacteriaceae
Also listed under: 1 other name
Description: partial 23S ribosomal RNA
Rfam family: Bacterial large subunit ribosomal RNA
Source: RNAcentral